GACGAACGCUGGCGGCGUGCUUAACACAUGCAAGUCGAACGGAAAGGCCCCCUUGUGGGGUACUCGAGUGGCGAACGGGUGAGUAACACGUGAGUAACCUACCCUUGACUUUGGGAUAACUUCAGGAAACUGGGGCUAAUACCGGAUAGGAGCUCCUGCUGCAUGGUGGGGGUUGGAAAGUUUCGGCGGUUGGGGAUGGACUCGCGGCUUAUCAGCUUGUUGGUGGGGUAGUGGCUCACCAAGGCUUUGACGGGUAGCAGGCCUGAGAGGGUGACCGGCCACAUUGGGACUGAGAUACGGCCCAGACUCCUACGGGAGGCAGCAGUGGGGAAUAUUGCACAAUGGGCGGAAGCCUGAUGCAGCAACGCCGCGUGCGGGAUGACGGCCUUCGGGUUGUAAACCGCUUUCGCCUGUGACGAAGCGUGAGUGACGGUAAUGGGUAAAGAAGCACCGGCUAACUACGUG
Molecule: ribosomal RNA, 465 nt
Filed under: uncultured bacterium
Lineage: Bacteria
Description: partial 16S ribosomal RNA
Rfam family: Bacterial small subunit ribosomal RNA
Source: RNAcentral